UCUCUCUCUCUCUCUCUCUCUCUCUCUCUCACACACACACAGUAUAGCAACGUUUGGUGAGGCAUAGCUCUCCCCACCUCCCUCCCCUUCUUUGCUCUUCCCCCUCCCUAGCUUCCCCUGCCUCCUCUCUCCUCCCUCUCUUCAUCUCUUCCUCUCUCUCUCCUUCACCUCCUUCCUAUCCCCCCCCACCCCCCUUAACACCCCCAUCAGCGAAGCGAUAGGUUGUAUUUGCUCGUGCACAAUAAUCGUCUUAAUAUCUCACCUGCAGAAAUGUGAAACAAUAACCAGAAAUACUCGAUUCUCUCUACAGCCUGAGAGAAUAUAUCAACAUGAAAUGCAAGAUGAGGCACACAGGGCUGUCGGGGCAGUUUCGUUUGGCUACGGAGUACAAUCCUGGAUGGGUCACCACUCUGAUGAAGGAUACUUUAAUGGCUUACCAGGAAGCUGAUACUCAUUUUGCUGACCUUGGAAGGAUGACAGGCUGAGUCAACCCACCUGGUGUUAUUUCAACGGCGGAACAGGAAUGUGGUUUAUCAAGUCUGAAAAUUAAUCAUUUGCUUUGCAAAUGGGGCUUUCCACGACCUUGACAGUCAGAAGGAGAAAAUGUGCUGGUGACAUGAUGUGUUUAUCGGAGGAGGUUGUGGCCUCGGUCAUACGUGGGGGUGCUCAAGGUCCACCAAAAACCGCCUUCUGGUCAGGUCAGGUAUGGGAGCAUGCACCGGAGCAGCGCGUCGCUGCGUCUACUUUCUGCCAGUACUCCAGGGGCCUCCGUCUGACCGUCCCCCAGGCAGACGCCUGGCCCAUCCCCAUCUCCAGGUCUUCAAAACAUCUUUUCACCACCAUUUCUUAUCUUUCCCUAUCCAAAACCACAAUCUUUUCUACCCCCGCUAAUCCACCCCAAACCCACCUCCUUAAAAUUCCCUGUUUUCCUUCCUGAACGUACCUGUAGUACAAUCUUGUUUACCUCGUGUUCCCUGCCCCCAUCCCUCUCCCUUCCACAGAUAUCCUAUUGUCUUUGUUCCCCACUAUGUUGUGCUUCCCUCUCCUGCCCCUCUUGUCUUCUGCCUUGUAAUAUGUUUUUGUGUAUUAGCUCUUACACGAACCUCGACAUGGUAUACAAAAAAACACAACAAAAGAAAAACCUUCAUUGUGAUCCUCAUGAAAGGGUUUUUCCGUCUCAUCUCUCGUAUCAUGUGUUGAACAAAUACCCUCAUUCUUUACUGGAAAACAUCUGCACCAAAGAGUGAGAACAUUUGGAAUGGCAAUGGUGCUGAACGGGAAUCGGCUGACAAUCAAUGAAAUACCAAAGAAAUCCCCAACAAUAGGAAAAUCCCCCAAAUUUGUUUUUGCUGAAAACGACCAACACUUUGGGUGAGUAUGUUCAGCACAUGUUAGCUGGCAUUUGUGAAGAUGACUGUUAUCUCCCUUAUGUUUUUUAAGAUGACUGCUUACUUGUUCCUGUAAGCAACAAUUAAUAGUUGAAAGUAUGCAACAGUGAUCAUUGUCUCCCCAUUCUCCUAUCAAGAUUGUUUCUUCAUUUUUGGAAAGGAGAAGGGUGUUAACGUUUCCAUUUGGUUUCUUCGUUGUCAGUUAUCGUUAACUCAGGCUUACAAGUUGUUAGGGAGCAGUUCAGGAAAUAUUGUUUAGCAAUUGAGAGGAAUUCUGGUAUUGACACUUUCUGGAGCAUUAAUUUUUCCUUGGAGUUCUUCGAUAGGAUUUGAUGCCUCAAUAUCAAGUCAGUUGAAGUUUUUGAUUUUUCAACUUUAUAUACAAAUUUGGAUUUAGUACUAGUGAGGGAUUCGGAGGGGGGGAUGCCUCAAUAUCAAGUCAGUUGAAGUUUUUGAUUUUUCAACUUUAUAUACAAAUUUGGAUUUAGUACUAGUGAGGGAUUCAUUGUUUAAUGUAAUUGACAAGGUUUUUUAAACUCUUUUAAUAACUUUCUGUGUGUCAGGUUUGUAUUGAUGGAGCAUUAUUUUCGAAAAAGAAAUAUUCAAAUUUUCAUUGUUUUGAUCAGCAGAAGUUUAAGGAUGCUGUCAAUUUUAUUUUGUUUAACACUUUUGUGUCUUUUUAGAGGAUAAUGUUUCAACAGGUUAAGGGAAUUCUCAUGGGUGGGAAUUGCAGCCCCCUACUCGCAAAUAUUUUUCUUAUUUUCUGUGAAUUUUCAUUUAUACAGAAACUGAUGAAGGGGAAAAAAAAUUUGAAUUGGCUAAAAUAAUAUUUCAUACAUGUCGUUAUAUAGAUGGUUUUGUGUGGAUAACUAUAUUUUUUUUUUGAUAGGCAGCUUCACAAGAUUCAUCCAGAUAGUCUGAUUGCAAACAGAAGUGGUAAUGAUUGUACAGUUGCUCCAUAUCUGGAUGUGCUGGUUAGAGUUGGGCAGAAUGGUUUUCGUUUGAGUGUAUAUCAUAAAGUUGAUGAUUUCAGUUUCCCUGCAGUCUUGUACACCUUUCCAGGUAGCAAUGUACCAAUUAAAAUCGGUUAAAAUGUCUUUUAAUCUCAGCUACUUAGAUUUGCAAGAAUUUGUUCAGUAAAGGAUGAUUUUGUGGAACAUGCUGAGAACGUUUUUUCCAAUCAUGUUAAACAGAGGAUAUUUGGCUGAUUGCUUGAUCAUGUCUUGUGAGAAUGUCUUUAGACUCCAUCGUCACCUUUUAUUGAAGUUUGGUUUUCAUUUAAGCAAGUUCCCAUUGCAUUGCAUUUGAUAUAAUAAUCAUUAAUUAAUUUAUAUUAUUGGUUAAACACAUAUAUAUAUAUUUUUUUUUUUUAAAGAAGGUAUUUAGAUUUAAAAAAAUAAAAUAAAUAAAUAAAUAUUAUUUUAAAAUACAAUAUAAAGAAGCAUUAAUAUAAUUUAUUCAUGGUUGCGAGGAUAUGCAAUGCAGCAUGUUACAAUCGGUUGUUAAUGACAGUUUGACUAUUUGAAUGACCGUUUGAGUCUGUGGUUAGAUGGAGGUGGUGUGUAAUGGACAAUGGACAUAUCUGCAAGGUAAAGUGUUUAUCGCUUAAUAUAUUAUCAUAUAAAGUGGUGUAUGAUUAAAGUUAUUCAUAUGCAGUAAUACUUUAAAUAAAAGUAAUAAAUAAAUAAGUUUGAAUAUGGAUAUUGCAUUGCUGUGUUGAUUGACUGUCUGGACACAACUUUGGGUUGUAGGUCCAUUGAUGUUGAGUAAUCUACUGAUAUCAAUCUGCGACUGGGGUUGUGGAUCUGCCGUUUGGAGAGGUUCUGGGCUGAAAGGAUCAAAACCUCGAUAAAAACUGUGCCCACACGAUCGGGCAGUUGGGAAAAUCAGUAAAUUACUUAUAAGUUAAGGUUAUAACUUCAAAUAAAAUAGCUUUUGUACGUACUUACCAGUAUAGUGUGUGUGUGUGUGUGUGUGUGUGUGUGUGUGUGUGUGUGUGUGUGU
This is a long non-coding RNA of Eptatretus burgeri (inshore hagfish), 3392 nucleotides long. The record is from Ensembl. NCBI's taxonomy places the organism in Eukaryota, Metazoa, Chordata, Myxini, Myxiniformes, Myxinidae.